RNAcentral lists this long non-coding RNA (936 nucleotides) under Equus caballus (horse). RNAcentral describes it as "lncRNA (ENSECAG00000037543.3)". The record is from RNAcentral. Lineage: Eukaryota; Metazoa; Chordata; Mammalia; Perissodactyla; Equidae.
GUUAGUUAAUAUUUGUAAGCAUACAGUGGAAUACAGUGCGGCCAUUUCAAUGGGUGAUGAAGGUGCAUAUUUAGUGGCAAGCAAGGAGCUUCACAAUAUAGCAUUUAGUCACAGAAGCUGACAUCAGGACAGCAGCCAUUUGAAAUAUACACGUGUCAUAAACAUGAUAAAGAAAAUAAUUCUCUGCUUACCUCGCUGAAUCCGGUGGCUUCCGGGUUUGAGGCCCCCUUUGUAUAGGAGGUGUCUACUCUCAGGAAAUCUUAAGGAGGCACGGUCCAGCUCAAGCGAGCAGUAGAAUCCGCAUCCCUUGCCUCCCCUUCCAGGCUUCUUCCUACGCCGCUUUGAGUAACCAUCGUGGAUCACUUAUGUUUGGCAGAGCCUGAGUGCCCUAGUUACCCUGGAAGGUUUGUUAACUAGUUGCGAUUUAAAGAAGCAUUCCCCCACACGAUUAAAACAAUAGGCCUUUGAAGUUUUUUCAGCUGAGAGGUAUCAACGAGUUCGAACCAUAACAUUUGAUUAAUCAACACAGAAAAUCAGUUCUAUUUAGGCCUGACAUCGAUGUUACAUCCUGACCCCAGCAGACGUGCCACAUUGUCAGUGACCCUAGAGUCUCAGGGUUUCUCAAAAUGUCAUCCCAAAGCCACCUAUAUGACGAUAAUCUGGAUGCCUGUUGAAUAUUGCAACAACCUCUACCUCGCCUCACACCUACUGAAUAAACAUUUCCAGGAGUAGAGCUUGGAAAUCCGCAUGUUAAUCAAACUUUCCAGAUUAUUCUAUGCAAACUACAGUCAGAGAGUGAAAUGUCUGUUGUUUAGGCCAAUAUUCUUUUUUCAGGAGACUGACCGUAACCAAGAGCCAGAGUAGUAUGAAUUGGUCUGAAGCUCCCCAGCUCCUUACCCUGCUGUCCAAGAUGGUGGAGGCGCCAGAGGCAGGGCA